RNAcentral lists this ribosomal RNA (221 nucleotides) under uncultured bacterium. RNAcentral describes it as "partial 16S ribosomal RNA". It matches the Rfam family "Bacterial small subunit ribosomal RNA", at positions 96 to 334 of the family's 1533-position model. The record is from RNAcentral.
CGGCGAACGGGUGAGUAACACGUUGGUAUCUGCCCCCAAGUCAGGGAUAGCCAUUGGAAACGAUGAUUAAUACCGGAUAGUCUCUUCGGAGUAAAAAUUUAUUGCUUGGGGAUGAACCUGCGGUCUAUCAGCUAGUUGGUGAGGUAAUAGCUCACCAAGGCUAUGACGGAUACCUGGUCUGAGAGGAUGAUCAGGCACAAUGGAACUGAGACACGGCCCAG